AAAUUGAAGAGUUUGAUCAUGGCUCAGAUUGAACGCUGGCGGCAGGCCUAACACAUGCAAGUCGAACGGUAACAGAAAGCAGCUUGCUGCUUUGCUGACGAGUGGCGGACGGGUGAGUAAUGUCUGGGAAACUGCCUGAUGGAGGGGGAUAACUACUGGAAACGGUAGCUAAUACCGCAUAACGUCGCAAGACCAAAGAGGGGGACCUUAGGGCCUCUUGCCAUCGGAUGUGCCCAGAUGGGAUUAGCUAGUAGGUGGGGUAA
This 263-nucleotide ribosomal RNA is filed under the name Escherichia coli. RNAcentral describes it as "partial 16S ribosomal RNA". It matches the Rfam family "Bacterial small subunit ribosomal RNA", at positions 1 to 260 of the family's 1533-position model. The record is from RNAcentral. RNAcentral also lists the same sequence under 3 other names. Lineage: Bacteria; Pseudomonadati; Pseudomonadota; Gammaproteobacteria; Enterobacterales; Enterobacteriaceae.